GCCAGGCGCAGUGGCGCACGCCUGUAAUCUCAGUGUCUUGGAGGCUGAGGCAGGAGAAUCACGAGUUCAAAGCCAGCCUCAGCAAAGGCAAGGUGCUAAGCAACUCAGUGAGGCCCUGUCUCUA
Molecule: small RNA, 124 nt
Filed under: Marmota monax (woodchuck)
Lineage: Eukaryota; Metazoa; Chordata; Mammalia; Rodentia; Sciuridae
Source: RNAcentral